CGGCGGACGGGUGAGUAACGCGUGGGGAACCUGCCCUAUACAGGGGGAUAACAGUUAGAAAUGACUGCUAAUACCGCAUAAGCGCACGGAGCCGCAUGGCGCUGAGUGAAAAACGAUAGUGGUAUAGGAGGGACCCGCGUCUGAUUAGGUAGUUGGUGGGGUAACGGCCCACCAAGCCGACGAUCAGUAGCCGACCUGAGAGGGUGACCGGCCACAUUGGGACUGAGACACGGCCCAAACUCCUACGGAAGGCAGCAG
Molecule: ribosomal RNA, 258 nt
Filed under: uncultured bacterium
Lineage: Bacteria
Description: partial 16S ribosomal RNA
Rfam family: Bacterial small subunit ribosomal RNA
Source: RNAcentral